AUGGCUUCGCCAAGUACUGCUGCUGUGUUGGCCGUGCUUGUCGUCGUGCUGUUGGGAAUGGGAUGCCCGGCCGCGGCGACAUGCAGCGACUGCGCGUCGCAGUGCAGCUUGUCGUGCAGCGCCCGCAACUUCCCAUGUAGCAGCGACUGCAGCCCGAUCCCGGCGUGCGUGGAGCACUGCAAGGCCACAGAGGUCCCAAAGUGCGUGGCCGGCUGCUCACAUAGCUGCAACAGGAGCUGCCCGAGCGGGGGGUGCAACUGCGCUACUGCCUGCGACGGCUGCCACAGCGGCGUCGAGAUCCAGUGCAAGAGGAACUGCACCAAUUCACAGUUGUGCAACGCCUGCAAGGACAACUACUCCCGUCAGUGCAACGCCUGCUGCACCUCCUACUGCAACAAAAACUGUGCCUGA
Molecule: ribosomal RNA, 411 nt
Filed under: Triticum aestivum (bread wheat)
Lineage: Eukaryota; Viridiplantae; Streptophyta; Magnoliopsida; Poales; Poaceae
Description: partial small subunit ribosomal RNA
Source: RNAcentral